CAGGCCUAACACAUGCAAGUCGAACGAGAACGGAAUAUAGCUUGCUAUAUUUGUCAGCUAAGUGGCGCACGGGUGAGUAAUGUAUAGAUAACCUGCCCUUAAGAAAGGAAUAACAGUUGGAAACGACUGCUAAUGCCCUAUAUGCCUUUAAUACAUAAGUAUGCAAGGGAAACGCUUUAGUGCUUAAGGAUGGGUCUGUAUGGUAUCAGCUUGUUGGUGAGGUAAUGGCUCACCAAGGCUAUGACGCCUAACUGGUUUGAGAGGAUGAUCAGUCACACUGGAACUGAGACACGGUCCAGACUCCUACGGGAGGCAGCAGUGGGGAAUAUUGAAGAAUGGACGAAAGUCUGAUGCAGCAACGCCGCGUGGAUAAUGGCACAUUUCGGUGCGUAAACUCCUUUUAUAUAGGAAGAUAAUGACGGUACUAU
Molecule: ribosomal RNA, 428 nt
Filed under: uncultured bacterium
Lineage: Bacteria
Description: bacterial SSU rRNA
Rfam family: Bacterial small subunit ribosomal RNA
Source: RNAcentral